CUGCAGCCCGAGUGGUGAUCGAUUUUAUUGAGCCUAAAGCGUCCGUAGCCGGACCAGUAAACCCACGGGUAAAUUGGGCAGCUUAACUGUCCGAACUCCGAGGGGACUGCUAGUCUUGGGACCGGGAGAGGUCAGAGGUACUCAAGGGGUAGGGGCUAAAUCCUGUAAUCCUUUGGGGACCACCAGUGGCGAAGGCGUCUGACUAGAACGGAUCCGACGGUAAGGGACGAAACCCUGGGGCGCGAACCGGAUUAGAUACCCGUGUAGUCC
This 270-nucleotide ribosomal RNA is filed under the name uncultured archaeon. Its description in RNAcentral is "partial 16S ribosomal RNA". It matches the Rfam family "Archaeal small subunit ribosomal RNA", at positions 477 to 747 of the family's 1478-position model. The record is from RNAcentral.